This 550-nucleotide ribosomal RNA is filed under the name uncultured bacterium. RNAcentral describes it as "bacterial SSU rRNA". It matches the Rfam family "Bacterial small subunit ribosomal RNA", at positions 355 to 896 of the family's 1533-position model. The record is from RNAcentral.
UAGGGAAUCUUCCACAAUGGGCGCAAGCCUGAUGGAGCAACACCGCGUGAGUGAAGAAGGGUUUCGGCUCGUAAAGCUCUGUUGUUAAAGAAGAACACGUAUGAGAGUAACUGUUCAUACGUUGACGGUGUUUAACCAGAAAGUCACGGCUAACUACGUGCCAGCAGCCGCGGUAAUACGUAGGUGGCAAGCGUUAUCCGGAUUUAUUGGGCGUAAAGAGAGUGCAGGCGGUUUUCUAAGUCUGAUGUGAAAGCCUUCGGCUUAACCGGAGAAGUGCAUCGGAAACUGGAUAACUUGAGUGCAGAAGAGGGUAGUGGAACUCCAUGUGUAGCGGUGGAAUGCGUAGAUAUAUGGAAGAACACCAGUGGCGAAGGCGGCUACCUGGUCUGCAACUGACGCUGAGACUCGAAAGCAUGGGUAGCGAACAGGAUUAGAUACCCUGGUAGUCCAUGCCGUAAACGAUGAGUGCUAGGUGUUGGAGGGUUUCCGCCCUUCAGUGCCGGAGCUAACGCAUUAAGCACUCCGCCUGGGGAGUACGACCGCAAGGUUG